GUCCAUGGCCAUACCACCCUGAACGCACCAGAGCUCCUCUGAUCUUGGAAGCUAAGCAGGGUCAGGCCUGGUUAGUACUUGGAUGGGAGACCAAAGAGUAGCUCACCCUUUCUGGAGAACAACUGUGAUGUGUACC
Molecule: ribosomal RNA, 136 nt
Filed under: Aotus nancymaae (Ma's night monkey)
Lineage: Eukaryota; Metazoa; Chordata; Mammalia; Primates; Aotidae
Source: RNAcentral